Molecule: unclassified non-coding RNA, 176 nt
Filed under: uncultured Aspergillus
Lineage: Eukaryota; Fungi; Ascomycota; Eurotiomycetes; Eurotiales; Aspergillaceae
Description: sequence contains ITS1
Source: RNAcentral
CCGAGUGCGGGCCCUCUGGGUCCAACCUCCCACCCUUGUCUAUUGUACCUUGUUGCUUCGGCGGGCCCGCCUAACGGCCGCCGGGGGGCAUUUCGCCCCCGGGCCCGCGCCCGCCGGAGACAAACACUGAACACUGUCUGAAGGUUGCAGUCUGAGUCGAUUUUAAGUAAUCGUUA